UCGAGGGGCAGCAUGGUCUUAGCUUGCUAAGGCCGAUGGCGACCGGCGCACGGGUGAGUAACACGUAUCCAACCUGCCGUCUACUCUUGGACAGCCUUCUGAAAGGAAGAUUAAUACAAGAUGGCAUCAUGAGUCCGCAUGUUCACAUGAUUAAAGGUAUUCCGGUAGACGAUGGGGAUGCGUUCCAUUAGAUAGUAGGCGGGGUAACGGCCCACCUAGUCUUCGAUGGAUAGGGGUUCUGAGAGGAAGGUCCCCCACAUUGGAACUGAGACACGGUCCAAACUCCUACGGGAGGCAGCAGUGAGGAAUAUUGGUCAAUGGGCGAGAGCCUGAACCAGCCAAGUAGCGUGAAGGAUGACUGCCCUAUGGGUUGUAAACUUCUUUUAUAAAGGAAUAAAGUCGGGUAUGCAUACCCGUUUGCAUGUACUUUAUGAAUAAGGAUCGGCUAACUCCGUGCCAGCAGCCGCGGUAAUACGGAGGAUUCGAGCGUUAUCCGGAUUUAUUGGGUUUAAAGGGAGCGUAGAUGGAUGUUUAAGUCAGUUGUGAAAGUUUGCGGCUCAACCGUAAAAUUGCAGUUGAUACUGGAUAUCUUGAGUGCAGUUGAGGCAGGCGGAAUUCGUGGUGUAGCGGUGAAAU
This 636-nucleotide ribosomal RNA is filed under the name uncultured Bacteroidales bacterium. RNAcentral's name for it is "bacterial SSU rRNA". It matches the Rfam family "Bacterial small subunit ribosomal RNA", at positions 62 to 687 of the family's 1533-position model. The record is from RNAcentral. Lineage: Bacteria; Pseudomonadati; Bacteroidota; Bacteroidia; Bacteroidales.